GGAGCUCGACCCCUUCUCUGCGCUGUCCGAGGGGCCCGAGCCGGUCGCUGGGCGAGGAGCCGCCCGCCUGGGGUGGAUGCUCUGACAGAGCCGGACGCCCAGUGGCGCUUUGGGCGGCCCACGGAAGACCUGGAGUCACAGGACGAGGAGAUCGCCAGUCAUGUUUUCUCGCUUUACCUCUUCAGCCCGGAAACCGGCAACUUCGUGUCUCCCUGGGGUAGGGACAGUUUGGAGUCUCUUAACCUCUGCCCAACAGAUUUAUCCCCAGGGCCAGUGUCCUCCGUGGAUAAGUGCAAGUAGGAGUGGGCGAUGUUUCCAUUAUUAGGAGGCAACAACCCCGUACACUGGAGCCCCAAAUCCUGCAAAGGAGUCUGAAAGUUCUUCCUCUGUUCCGCGUGUUUCCUGCGCCAAGGAGGACACAUAGAACAUUUUGCUAGCCCUUCUAGUGCACGUUGAUUGCCAACUGCUUGGUGCAACUUUCCCAUAACUAUGUGUCUUUUUUUGCAAUUGAAAGCAACCAAUGGUCAAGUACAGGCAAAAAAAAAAAA
This is a long non-coding RNA of Galeopterus variegatus (Sunda flying lemur), 548 nucleotides long. RefSeq lists it as uncharacterized. The transcript has 2 exons. NCBI's taxonomy places the organism in Eukaryota, Metazoa, Chordata, Mammalia, Dermoptera, Cynocephalidae. The record is from RefSeq and is a predicted model, not a curated record.